GAGAAACGGCUACCACAUCUAAGGAAGGCAGCAGGCGCGUAAAUUACCCAAUCCCGAUUCGGGGAGGUAGUGACAAGAAAUAGCAAACUGGAUGAAUUUUCAUCACAGUAUUGCAAUGAGAACAAUGUAAAUGCUUUAUCGAUUAACAAUUGGAGGGCAAGUCUGGUGCCAGCAGCCGCGGUAAUUCCAGCUCCAAUAGCGUAUAUUAAAGUUGUUGCAGUUAAAAAGCUCGUAGUUGAACUUCUGUACAUUCCCAGUUCUGGCUUCGGUCAAGCUGUGGAGUGUGCAUCCGCUUGCAAACUUAGACCGGCCUUCACUGGUCGACUAAGGGAGUAAGCCCUUUACUUUGAAAAAAUUAGAGUGUUUCAGGCAGGCAAUGGCUCGAAUACAUUAGCAUGGAAUAAUGGAAUAGGACUUUUGUCCAUUUGGUUGGUUAUUGGACAUAAGUAAUGAUUAAAAGGGACAGUUGGGGGCAUUAGUACUUAAUUGUCAGAGGUGAAAUUCUUGGAUUUAUUAAAGACUAACUUAUGCGAAAGCAUUUGCCAAGGAUGUUUUCAUUAAUCAAGAACGAAAGUUAGGGGAUCAAA
RNAcentral lists this ribosomal RNA (587 nucleotides) under uncultured ciliate. RNAcentral describes it as "SSU rRNA". It matches the Rfam family "Eukaryotic small subunit ribosomal RNA", at positions 398 to 1002 of the family's 1831-position model. Lineage: Eukaryota; Ciliophora. The record is from RNAcentral.